AAUGUUUCGGCGGCACAAUUGCGGUUAGAGGAACCAAGCUAUUUUAAGCUUUAGCCUUGUUGUUUUAUUCCAGGAAAAUUUAGUUGGAUUUCGUUAGUCAGUAUAGUUGCAUUUCCUACAACAUAAACUUCAAGAAGGUCGGUGUAAUCGUGAGACGAGAUGGGUACCGAUUCUAAUUAAGUCAGACCUUUGGAGAGGUUAGUGUAGUUUUCCCUUUAUUAUAUGCUCCAAACAUGAUAUGCUGUCAAUUUGUUGUUGAAGGUACAUCAUCUAGUCUUGUUAGUUGUUACACUGUCCAUUUUUGUUAUGAAGAUUGAAGAGCACCACAAGCAGUUCUAUUAGCCAAGAUAUAUGAAAUUUUGAACUGUAACUAUGAUUGCUCUAAUCUAAGCUUUGAUUUGUUCAUCCUAAUUCCUAAAUGGUAGAAGAAACUUUAGUGCAUAAGUUUGAUAUUGUUAUUUAUCUUUUAAAUUUUUUACUUGGUUCCUAGAACUUCUUUAGAUUAGAGAAGUUUGUGGUAUGUUGCUCCUCUAUUUUUGUUCUUGUGGUGGGCUAACAUUUUAUUAUUGACAUUUAAAAAUUUCACAAGCUUAUGACAUGGAUGCCUGUAUAAACAUAGUCAAACCAUUAGAACUUUUAUGACCCUCUAAUAGAAACCUGAAAAACAGGAUAUUUCAUGUGCACGCGAAUCUUAGGCAAUCAAAUUCGAAACCUAUUAUUUCUAUCCAUAUGAGCAUCACUCUCCAACUACAGGAGAGAAUUAUUAAGUGCAGACACAUUUGCUGUCACAUAUUAUCUUAGGAAAAGCUGUGUAUGAUUAGUUGAAACAAGUGAUGGCUGUAAUAUUUGCUGAUGGGUAGUUAGGAAAGGAUUGUUAUCCUUAUUCUGUGGAAAUUUCUACCACAGUUUGUAGCUGACCAUUUCGCAGGUGAUGGAGCCUCUCUUUUGCAUAUAAACAUGAUGCUGCUAACAAAUUAAAUGAAUGAAACCAGUUUAGCUCCACAAAGUUCUGUUUUUUACUAAAAUACAAAUUUAUUGUAUACUUAAAAAGACAAAAGGGGGAAGGAUAGCAAGGGUAGAAUAAGUCAAACGACUGAUGCAUACAUGCUCUAGGCUAAGGAGCCCAGUUUCACUGGAUAGUAUAAUUUUGGGUCAUGAUUUGUGAUAAAAUAUUAUCACGUCGUUGGACCCAUGUAUAUGGUAAUUUCCCUGUUUUCCACCAUGCAAUUUGUUGAGGAAUAACAAGUAUAUUUGCAUUUAACCCAAGGGUGAGGAAGGGGAGUGAAAAGGAAUUAAGGUAAGUGUGUGUAGGGAAUAGGGAUUAGGGAUAGCUCAGAGAGCUCAGCCAAUACUUCCACAUGGUCUGUUGUGACAUUCCCAGUCAAAAUAAGCUCCAUAAGGCCACAACUUUAAACUGCUUGAUCAUGAUACCAAAGCUGUACACAUCCACUUCAGUGUUAUAAUUGCUUUUAUGUCUCUUAAUCCUCUUUAUCAUGGUGAGACCUCUUAAAAAGAGGAGAAAGAAAGCCGACCCUUUGGCUCGCUUCCGACCCGGAAAUCUACGAUCUACCCAGCGCCUUUGUUUAUGUUGAGUAGGUCCGCUCCUCGUUCACCACAAACAUGUCGAAAUUCCACAAUCGGGGGAAUGAAUCAGCACUUCCUGAUACGGCAUGCAGCUAAUGGUAAGGUUACUUGCAUUGUAAUUGUAAGUUUAAAUUAUGGAUACAACUUUUUCAUUCAUUUAAGUAAGACUAUCUACCAUUCUCAAAUCCCACUAAAUAGGAGUUUUAUGAACUUGACCGCCCACCAGUCUCUUAAUACUUUUAAGGACAAUUUGUUUCUACUUCACCAUAUGAGCGAGUUAAUAGCUGCAAUGUGUGCUAUUAAUCAUUGUAUUCAAUUCCAAAAUAAAUAAAAAGUAAAAGUAUCCAGAAGUCUUGGUGAUGCUACUUUCACAGAAUCUAACAAUGUAAUGUGUUCUCACAUGCAUUGUAUCAAAACAGUAAAUAAGAAACCAAUACAGUUCAAGUAACUCUUGCUUACUUUCACUAACCACAUAAAUCCAAGAAAAAUAAAUUGUUAAAUCAGAUUGUAACUUAAGACUAUCUAUGUUUCUGGUUUGUAAGGAUUGCCACAUAUAGAAUCAUGACCAUAAAACUAGUCAUUUCUUAUUUUGGAAGCUCGGCCAGGCAAUGUGACUGACCCAGUGAACGCCUCAUUCUGAAGGAACCUGCAAAUAAGCACCACGGUUCUGUCCAUAGUUAUCCGGUAUGCGGUACGAGUAUAUGAUGAAAUACAAAACAAGUUUAGGAAAAGUAUGAAAUAAGAAACUUUCCAUCUAAGAUUUGUCAAGGCCAAAUGGUUUAUAGUAUGACACUUUUGAUGAAAUGGAAGAGUUUUAAUGUGUUAAUGAUUUAGUAUGUAUUUAUGACUAGAGAAAAAUAGGAAUGAACUUGUCUUUUCCAUUCAUUUAUUUAAAGUGCAUAUUCAGAAAAUGCCACUGAAGAAUUGAAGGUUCAUAACCUUUCUUGGAAAUGAGUUCAAUUGUACAAAAAUAUCACAUUUAAACUAG
This 2572-nucleotide long non-coding RNA is filed under the name Lupinus mutabilis. RNAcentral describes it as "partial ncRNA". The record is from RNAcentral. Lineage: Eukaryota; Viridiplantae; Streptophyta; Magnoliopsida; Fabales; Fabaceae.